GUAGGUGAACCUGCGGAAGGAUCAUUAUCGAAAUAAAUCUGAUGGGUUGUUGCUGGUUCUCUAGGGAGCAUGUGCACGCCUUGUCAUCUUUAUAUCUCCACCUGUGCACUUUUUGUAGACCCUUCAAGGUCUAUGUCGCUUCAUUAACCCCAAACAAAUAAUAGAAUGUUGUGCCUUUGAAAAAUCUAUACAACUUUCAGCAACGGAUCUCUUGGCUCUC
This 220-nucleotide unclassified non-coding RNA is filed under the name rhizosphere metagenome. RNAcentral's name for it is "partial ribosomal RNA internal transcribed spacer region". The record is from RNAcentral.